This 303-nucleotide ribosomal RNA is filed under the name Peripatopsis capensis. RNAcentral describes it as "partial 12S ribosomal RNA". Lineage: Eukaryota; Metazoa; Onychophora; Udeonychophora; Euonychophora; Peripatopsidae. The record is from RNAcentral.
GAAACUAAAUAAUUUGACGGCAUUUGAAUUCAUAAAGGAGUUUGUGAUUUAAUCGUCAAUACACGCUUUAUCUUACUUAUAAUAAUUUGUAUAUCUCCGUUAAAGAUCCUAUUCAAAAAUAAUAAAAAAUUUCAUAAAAAUAUAACAUUAGCAAAUCAGGUCAAGAUGCAAUUUUAUAAGAUAUUAUGAACUACAAUCAAAAUACAGAAAAUGAAUUAAUUCCUGAAAAAAAUUAUGAAAAUGAAUUUAUAAAUAAAGUAAAAUUAAAAUGUUUACUUGAAAAAAUCAAAUGUGUACACAUCG